RNAcentral lists this ribosomal RNA (497 nucleotides) under uncultured bacterium. RNAcentral's name for it is "partial 16S ribosomal RNA". It matches the Rfam family "Bacterial small subunit ribosomal RNA", at positions 28 to 507 of the family's 1533-position model. The record is from RNAcentral.
GAUGAACGCUGGCGGCGUGCCUAAUACAUGCAAGUCGAGCGAACGGACGAGAAGCUUGCUUCUCUGAUGUUAGCGGCGGACGGGUGAGUAAUACGUGGAUAACCUACCUAUAAGACUGGGAUAACUUCGGGAAACCGGAGCUAAUACCGGAUAAUAUUUUGAACCGCAUGGUUCAAAAGUGAAAGACGGUCUUGCUGUCACUUAUAGAUGGAUCCGCGCUGCAUUAGCUAGUUGGUAAGGUAACGGCUUACCAAGGCAACGAUGCAUAGCCGACCUGAGAGGGUGAUCGGCCACACUGGAACUGAGACACGGUCCAGACUCCUACGGGAGGCAGCAGUAGGGAAUCUUCCGCAAUGGGCGAAAGCCUGACGGAGCAACACCGCGUGAGUGAUGAAGGUCUUCGGAUCGUAAAACUCUGUUAUUAGGGAAGAACAUAUGUGUAAGUAACUGUGCACAUCUUGACGGUACCUAAUCAGAAAGCCACGGCUAACUACGUG